ACUUGAAUUGAAGAGUUUGAUCAUGGCUCAGAUUGAACGCUGGCGGCAGGCUUAACACAUGCAAGUCGAACGGUAGCAGGAGAAAGGUUGCUUUCUUGCUGACGAGUGGCGGACGGGUGAGUAAUGCUUGGGAAUCUGGCUUAUGGAGGGGGAUAACGACGGGAAACUGUCGCUAAUACCGCGUAUUAUCGGAAGAUGAAAGUGCGGGACUGAGAGGCCGCAUGCCAUAGGAUGA
This 235-nucleotide ribosomal RNA is filed under the name Haemophilus influenzae. RNAcentral describes it as "partial 16S ribosomal RNA". It matches the Rfam family "Bacterial small subunit ribosomal RNA", at positions 1 to 228 of the family's 1533-position model. Lineage: Bacteria; Pseudomonadati; Pseudomonadota; Gammaproteobacteria; Pasteurellales; Pasteurellaceae. The record is from RNAcentral.